RNAcentral lists this ribosomal RNA (193 nucleotides) under Mantoniella antarctica. RNAcentral describes it as "partial Eukaryotic small subunit ribosomal RNA". It matches the Rfam family "Eukaryotic small subunit ribosomal RNA", at positions 879 to 1071 of the family's 1831-position model. The record is from RNAcentral. Lineage: Eukaryota; Viridiplantae; Chlorophyta; Mamiellophyceae; Mamiellales; Mamiellaceae.
CAAUUGGGGGUAUUCGUAUUUACAUGUCAGAGGUGGAAUUCUUGGAUUUUGGAAAGACGAACUAAUGCGAAAGCAUCUACCAAAGAUGUUUUCAUUGAUCAAGAACGAAAGUUUGGGGAUCGAAGAUGAUUAGAUACCAUCGUAGUCUAAACCAUAAACUAUGCCGACUUGCGAUUGUUUUGUGUCAUUUAAU